RNAcentral lists this ribosomal RNA (492 nucleotides) under uncultured bacterium. RNAcentral describes it as "partial 16S ribosomal RNA". It matches the Rfam family "Bacterial small subunit ribosomal RNA", at positions 29 to 507 of the family's 1533-position model. The record is from RNAcentral.
AUUGAACGCUGGCGGCAUGCUUUACACAUGCAAGUCGAACGGUAACAGGCCUUCGGGUGCUGACGAGUGGCGAACGGGUGAGUAAUGCAUCGGAACGUGCCCAGGGGUGGGGGAUAACGCAGCGAAAGCUGUGCUAAUACCGCAUGUGAUCUGAGGAUGAAAGCGGGGGACCAGGCAGCAAUGUUUGGCCUCGCGCCUUUGGAGCGGCCGAUGUCGGAUUAGGUAGUUGGUGGGGUAAAGGCCUACCAAGCCGACGAUCUGUAGCUGGUCUGAGAGGACGACCGGCCACACUGGGACUGAGACACGGCCCAGACGCCUACGGGAGGCAGCAGUGGGGAAUGUUGGACAAUGGGCGCGAGCCUGAUCCAGCAAUGCCGCGUGCGGGAAGAAGGCCUUCGGGUUGUGAACCGCUUUUGUACGGAACGAAAAGGCUCUGGCUAAUACCUGGGGCUGAUGACGGUACCGUAAGAAUAAGCACCGGCUAACUACGUG